RNAcentral lists this long non-coding RNA (209 nucleotides) under Hordeum vulgare. RNAcentral describes it as "long non-coding RNA (HVUL_LNC015169)". The record is from RNAcentral. Lineage: Eukaryota; Viridiplantae; Streptophyta; Magnoliopsida; Poales; Poaceae.
GCAUGGGUUCAUACAGUGGCACGACGACCCAACAUCUUCAUUUAUGUGUGUAUUGCUCGGAGAUCUUCCAGAUAGGGUAUGGAAGCUAGAGGAUGAUGUUGCAGCAUUAUGUACAAAUGGAGAUGCAGGUGCUGGUGCAUUGCGUGUGGAAAUGCAGAAGAGAACAGAACAAAGUGCAGGAGAUGGUGGAGCUGGUGCUUCAAUUAGAG